Molecule: ribosomal RNA, 253 nt
Filed under: uncultured bacterium
Lineage: Bacteria
Description: partial 16S ribosomal RNA
Rfam family: Bacterial small subunit ribosomal RNA
Source: RNAcentral
UACGAAGGGGGCUAGCGUUGCUCGGAAUUACUGGGCGUAAAGCGUGCGCAGGCGGCUUCGCAAGUCAGGCGUGAAAUCCCCGGGCUCAACCUGGGAAUUGCGAUGGAGACUGCAAGGCUAGAAUCUGGCAGAGGGGGGUAGAAUUCCACGUGUAGCAGUGAAAUGCGUAGAGAUGUGGAGGAACACCGAUGGCGAAGGCAGCCCCCUGGGUCAAGAUUGACGCUCAUGCACGAAAGCGUGGGGAGCAAACAGG